RNAcentral lists this ribosomal RNA (740 nucleotides) under uncultured bacterium. RNAcentral describes it as "bacterial SSU rRNA". It matches the Rfam family "Bacterial small subunit ribosomal RNA", at positions 8 to 796 of the family's 1533-position model. The record is from RNAcentral.
AGAGUUUGAUCAUGGCUCAGAGCGAACGCUGGCGGCAGGCCUAACACAUGCAAGUCGAGCGCCCCGCAAGGGGAGCGGCAGACGGGAGAGUAACACGUGGGAACGUACCCUUCAGUUCGGAACAACCCAGGGAAACUUGGGCUAAUACCGAAUACGUCCGUAAGGAGAAAGAUUUAUCGCUGAAGGAUCGGCCCGCGUCUGGUUAGCUUGUUGGUGAGGUAACGGCUCACCAAGGCGACGAUCAGUAGCUGGUCUGAGAGGAUGAUCAGCCUCACUGGGACUGAGACACGGCCCAGACUCCUACGGGAGGCAGCAGUGGGGAAUAUUGGACAAUGGGCGCAAGCCUGAUCCAGCCAUGCCGCGUGGAUGAUGAAGGCCCUAGGGUUGUAAAGUCCUUUCGGCGGGGAAGAUAAUGACGGUACCCGCAGAAGAAGCCCCGGCUAACUUCGUGCCAGCAGCCGCGGUAAUACGAAGGGGGCUAGCGUUGCUCGGAAUCACUGGGCGUAAAGCGCACGUAGGCGGCUUUUUAAGUCAGGGGUGAAAUCCUGGAGCUCAACUCCAGAACUGCCUUUGAUACUGAGAAGCUUGAGUCCGGGAGAGGUGAGUGGAACUGCGAGUGUAGAGGUGAAAUUCGUAGAUAUUCGCAAGAACACCAGUGGCGAAGGCGGCUCACUGGCCCGGUACUGACGCUGAGGUGCGAAAGCGUGGGGAGCAAACAGGAUUAGAUACCCUAGUAGUCC